GUAACGGGGUGUUAGGGCACGACACCGGAGAGGGAGCCUGAGAAACGGCUACCACAUCCAAGGAUGGCAGCAGGCGCGCAAAUUACCCAAUCCCGACACGGGGAGGUAGUGACAAUAAAUAACAAUACGGGGUCCUUUAGGGUUUCGUAAUUGGAAUGAGUACAAUUUAAAUCUCUUAACGAGGAACAAUUGGAGGGCAGGUCUGGUGCCAGCAGCCGCGGUAAUUCCAGCUCCAAUAGCGUAUAUUAAAGUUGUUGCAGUUAAAAAGCUCGUAGUUGAAUUUCGGGAUUAGUACGUUGGUCGUGCCUUAGGUACGUACUGGUGUUACUGGUUCCUACCUUCUGACGAACCAUCAUGUCAUUAAUUUGGUGUGGCGGGGAAUCAGGACUGUUACUUUGAAAAAAUUAGAGUGUUUAAAGCAGGCUCGCGCUUGAAUACAUUAGCAUGGAAUAAUGAAAUAGGACGUUGAUCCUAUUUUGUUGGUUUCUAGGAUUGACGUAAUGAUUAAUAGGGAUAGUUGGGGGCAUUAGUAUUCAAUUGUCAGAGGUGAAAUUCUUGGAUUUAUUGAAGACUAACUACUGCGAAAGCAUUUGCCAAGGAUGUUUUCAUUAAUCAAGAACGAAAGUUAGGGGAUCGAAGACGAUCAGAUACC
This 652-nucleotide ribosomal RNA is filed under the name Glomeromycotina sp. AB-2014. RNAcentral describes it as "SSU rRNA". It matches the Rfam family "Eukaryotic small subunit ribosomal RNA", at positions 359 to 1016 of the family's 1831-position model. The record is from RNAcentral. Lineage: Eukaryota; Fungi; Glomeromycota.